This 967-nucleotide long non-coding RNA is filed under the name Arachis ipaensis. RNAcentral's name for it is "long non-coding RNA (AIPA_LNC001744)". Lineage: Eukaryota; Viridiplantae; Streptophyta; Magnoliopsida; Fabales; Fabaceae. The record is from RNAcentral.
UAUGUAUGUUGAGUCUCUACUGUCCCCUGGCUCUAGUCUGUGUUUCUGGGCUGGAAACUGGGUCCAAACUCGGCUCAAAAUCGCCCCCAGCAUUUUCUGCAACUUCUGCAGAUUGCGCAUGUCACGCGUGAGUCACUGGUCAUCUUCGCGUAUCACGCGUACGCGUCAGGCACGCACACGCGUCGUCUUGCAGAACUCCAAUCCACGCGUACGCGUCAGGUACGCGCACGCGUCGCUGUAAAAAUCUCCAUAUCACGCGCACGCGUGAGCCAUGCGUGCGCGUCGAUGCUCGUUGGUUGGCUCCUUUAUUUCUUGUGCUCCUUCCAUUUCUGCAAGCUUCCUCUCCAUCCUUUAAGUCAUUCCUGCCCUAUAAAGCCUGAAAACACUGAGCACACAGAUCACGGCAUUGAAUGGUAUAAAGGGGAAUUAAAAUGUACAAAUUUAAGGUUUAGGAAGCAAGUUUUUAACCAUAGGAUAAAACUAGGAAGGAAUUGUAAAACCAUGCAAUUUUUAUGAAUAAGUAUGCAAAGACUUGAUAAAAACCACUCAAUUGAGCACAAGAUAAACCAUAAAAUAGUGGAUUAUCACUUUUCAACACAUUACAUACACCAAUGUUUUUCCUAGGAUCUACCCAAUCUUAUCUGGGACAAAUCCAUAUUCUAACCUAAUCUGAACUUGACUAGACCUCAAUCUAGUUUUCAACAGCAAAGUGCUAACCCAACUUACCAGGGAAUCCCUACCUCUGAGACAUCUUAUGGCUUUUUUUCAUAGUUUAUCUCACUGCCUUUUACCUCUCAUUGGCUUUUUCUUACAAACCUCACUGUGUUAAUCUUUUUCAAUGAGACUCAGACAAACUAAACUGAGAAAAAGGAAAUACUAAAUGAACAACAUGAAGGAGAAGAACUCAAUCAACUUGGGUAGCUAUGAGAAUUGAAUUCUGUGCUUUUUACUUACUUUCUUUCCCUUC